CCUACGGGUGGCAGCAGUGAGGAAUAUUGGUCAAUGGACGCAAGUCUGAACCAGCCAUGCCGCGUGCAGGAAGACGGCUCUAUGAGUUGUAAACUUCUUUUGUACGAGAGUAAACGCAGAUACGCGUAUCUGUCUGAAAGUAUCGUACGAAUAAGGAUCGGCUAACUCCGUGCCAGCAGCCGCGGUAAUACGGAGGAUUCAAGCGUUAUCCGGAUUUAUUGGGUUUAAAGGGUGCGUAGGCGGUCGGAUAAGUUAGAGGUGAAAUCCCGAGGCUCAACUUCGGAAUUGCCUCUGAUACUGGUAGGCUAGAGAGUAGUGGCGGUAGGCGGAAUGUAUGGUGUAGCGGUGAAAUGCUUAGAGAUCAGACAGAACACCGAUUGCGAAGGCAGCUUACCAAGCUACGUCUGACGUUGAGGCACGAAAGCGUGGGGAGCAAACAGGAUUAGAUACCCGGGUAGUC
RNAcentral lists this ribosomal RNA (460 nucleotides) under uncultured bacterium. Its description in RNAcentral is "partial 16S ribosomal RNA". It matches the Rfam family "Bacterial small subunit ribosomal RNA", at positions 338 to 795 of the family's 1533-position model. The record is from RNAcentral.